UACGUAGGGGGCAAGCGUUGUCCGGAUUUAUUGGGCGUAAAGAGCGUGUAGGCGGCCAGACAGGUCCGUUGUGAAAACUCGAGGCUCAACCUCGAGACGCCGAUGGAAACCGUCUGGCUAGAGUCCGGAAGAGGAGAGUGGAAUUCCUGGUGUAGCGGUGAAAUGCGCAGAUAUCAGGAAGAACACCAAUAGCGAAGGCAGCUCGCUGGGACGGUACUGACGCUAAGGCGCGAAAGCGUGGGGAGCGAACAGG
RNAcentral lists this ribosomal RNA (253 nucleotides) under uncultured bacterium. RNAcentral's name for it is "partial 16S ribosomal RNA". It matches the Rfam family "Bacterial small subunit ribosomal RNA", at positions 524 to 776 of the family's 1533-position model. The record is from RNAcentral.